GAGACACGACCGCCACUUCCUGCUCAUUCACUCGCCAACCAUGAGGACCUUCGCAGCUCUCGCGCUCUUGGCUCAGGUGUGCCAGCUCGCCCUGGCCAUCGAAUCCGCUCCUUAUGACCUAGUUAACUCCGCUGAGACGUACGAGGAGCGCGUGUACCCGGCGCAG
Molecule: non-coding RNA, 166 nt
Organism: Penaeus vannamei (Pacific white shrimp)
Lineage: Eukaryota; Metazoa; Arthropoda; Malacostraca; Decapoda; Penaeidae
Source: RefSeq, a predicted model, not a curated record